This 301-nucleotide ribosomal RNA is filed under the name uncultured bacterium. Its description in RNAcentral is "partial 16S ribosomal RNA". It matches the Rfam family "Bacterial small subunit ribosomal RNA", at positions 509 to 807 of the family's 1533-position model. The record is from RNAcentral.
CAGUCGCCGCGGUAAUACAGAGGGUGCAAGCGUUAAUCGGAUUUACUGGGCGUAAAGGGCGCGUAGGUGGUUAUUUAAGUGAGAUGUGAAAGCCCCGGGCUUAACCUGGGAACUGCAUCUUAUACUGGGUAACUGGAGUGCAGUAGAGGGUAGUGGAAUUUCCGGUGUAGCGGUGAAAUGCGUAGAUAUCGGAAGGAACACCAGUGGCGAAGGCGGCUACCUGGACUGAGACUGACACUGAGGCGCGAGAGCGUGGGGAGCAAACAGGAUUAGAGACCCCCGUAGUCCCUGUCUCUUAUAC